GUGUUCACUUCAGCAGCACAUAUACUACAAUGGGAAUGACACAGAGAAAAUCAACAUGGCCCCUAGGCAAAGAUGACAUGAAAACGUGUGAAGCAUUCUAUAUCCAU
Molecule: small nuclear RNA, 107 nt
Organism: Echinops telfairi (small Madagascar hedgehog)
Lineage: Eukaryota; Metazoa; Chordata; Mammalia; Afrosoricida; Tenrecidae
Source: Ensembl